Molecule: long non-coding RNA, 321 nt
Organism: Sphaerodactylus townsendi
Lineage: Eukaryota; Metazoa; Chordata; Lepidosauria; Squamata; Sphaerodactylidae
Exons: 3
Source: RefSeq, a predicted model, not a curated record
UCUCUCAGCCCCACCUACCUCACAGGGUGUUUGUUGUGAGGGGGGAAGGGCAAGUAGAUUGUCAGCCCCUUUGAGUCUCCUGCAGGAGAGAAAGGGGAUAUAAAUCCAAACUCUUCUUGCUAUCACCUUUAGACUGAAUUCAUACUUUGUGGAAGAGCUAUAAGUAUACCCAGUAUUCUUACUUUGAAGUUUAUGGUUCAUUACUUCUUACCUGCUGUUGAUGAAUGGCAAUCCCUUGUUGUAUGCUAUUAACAAUUCAUUGUGAAUAAGUAAACCUCAGUUGUGUUCUCCAGCUGUCUUAAUGUUUUAUGCCAAGCCCAA